GGCUUUGUAGCCAGAAUGGAUUUCGUUCUUUUUUUUCUAACAGGUAGGAAGUCAAUGGAGGAUUUGGAGCAGAGGCACAUCCUAGUCUGUCUUGCAUUUCAGAAGGAUCUGGCUGGAGAAUGCACAGUAGAGAAUCAGGACUGGAAACAGGGUGACUGACUGGUUUGAAGCCUGUUCCAUCCCUCUAAGUAUGAGAAGAUCUUGCUUGAGAUCUUCUACAAAGAAGCAUUUUUCAAAAUUAACAAAACAAAACAAAACAAAACAAACAAACAAACAAAAAAGAAGCAUUUUUCUUCAUUAACCAGGCAGUUGUAGUAUCAAGAGCAGGACAGUUCCCUACUGUUUAGACUGUGUAAUAGUAAGCUGCUUUCAGAGAAAGCGAAAGACAUGGAUGAGGAUCCUUUUUCUCCAAAGCUCUGCCAAUUUAAAAAUUAAAACUGGUGGGAAAAUGGGAAUGAACAUUAUGGAGUUUUGUUUCAGAAUCAACUCAACAAGCCACUGGCACUUCAUUUGUUGAUCCUACCUGGAUCUAGGAUUUAUAACAUGUCUGCCAUGUUUGCAACUCCUUGGAUACAGCAUUCUAAAAAGUGUCCAUUCUCUACUUAAUCUUUUUCUGUACCUUCUUUAAAAAUGUUACAAAAAUUAACAGAGUAAGACAGAGUAGGGAUUGCAGUGUAAAUGCUUUGGACAAUCAGGUAACAGCUUUUUUUUUUUUUUUUUAAAGGUUGGGUUAACAAUUUCCAUUUUCAAAAUGAGCCCAAAUUGAGUGAGUGAUUCUAAAUUAGCUCUUUAGUUUUUACCUUACGCUGCUGAUAAUGCCACUAUUAAUUUCAAUUAUUUAGAGGCAACAUUAAUACGUGUGAAAAAAGAACAGCGAUAAAGACAGAAAGGAAUAAAUUACUUGCUGCAGGACAGAAUGACAUUUUGACUGGCACAGAGAUUUUUUUUUCUCUCACACACUUUGUGCUUUGACAUUUCACUUGGCACAAACAUUUCACAAAUUCUUGACCUAAUCUGAUGUACUGUUGUUUAGCAAUUGCUGACAUGACAUGUUUUAACCUCAAGCUUGCUGGAUUCCAAAUGUUACCUCUUCCUGUCAAUCAGGGUUGGAUGACCUCCAAAAAGCAGUCCAAGCAAAAAUCUAUGUACCUAAGAGGUUAAAUGCAUUUGCCCCAAAUGGAGAAGAGGCAGUUUGAAGUAGGAGUUGGGGGAAGGGCAGGAAGAAUGGUGUCAUUUAGGAAAAUUAUGGGGUGAAAAAAAUGUAGGAGGCAGAUCCUUAGGGAACCCUGAGAUCUGGAGAGAGACAUCAGUCCCAAACAUAGAACCUAGAAAUAAACCUAACAAGACAUACAUAGGGUCUAUAACAACAACAACAAUAACAAAAAUAGUCAACUUAGGAGUAGAAGAGAUUUCAGAUAACAGAGAAAUACAUUAUCUUCCUCAAAGGGAAGAAUGUGUUAUAUAAAAAUGUUGCUCCUUCUCAAAUUGUGGCUAUAACUUGACCAUCUCCCCUUCUCACUGCCUGUUGGUAUGGAAGAGGUUACAUUUAUAUUAAUAUCUGUGCUUUGCUGGUUUAUUAGGUCAUCUGUCUUUUGCAUCCCAAGACUUUAUUAAAAAAUAAGCCAACUCACAUUGCUUUGCUCUGAUCAGUUAGAAAUGCUUUAAAUUUGCAAGUAGAAAAACAACUUUUAG
RNAcentral lists this long non-coding RNA (1692 nucleotides) under Marmota monax (woodchuck). The record is from RNAcentral. Lineage: Eukaryota; Metazoa; Chordata; Mammalia; Rodentia; Sciuridae.